Molecule: transfer RNA, 72 nt
Filed under: Camelus bactrianus (Bactrian camel)
Lineage: Eukaryota; Metazoa; Chordata; Mammalia; Artiodactyla; Camelidae
Also listed under: 2 other names
Rfam family: tRNA
About the family: Transfer RNA (tRNA) molecules are approximately 80 nucleotides in length. Their secondary structure includes four short double-helical elements and three loops (D, anti-codon, and T loops).
Source: Rfam by way of RNAcentral
GAGGGUAUAGCUCAGUGGUAGACUACAUGCUUAGCAUGUGUGAGGGCCUGGGUUCAAUCUCUAGUACCUCCA